Molecule: long non-coding RNA, 1939 nt
Organism: Esox lucius (northern pike)
Lineage: Eukaryota; Metazoa; Chordata; Actinopteri; Esociformes; Esocidae
Source: Ensembl
AAACCAAUAACAUCUUGUUUAUGAUCAGAGACAAAUUAAUUUACUACAACUGCCUUUGGAGCAAGGGAUCUAACAUAGUCCCAUUUUGAGAUGCGAGGUGAUACACUCAUUUUUUUGUUACCGAUGUGGAGGAAGGCUUUAUCUUAAUAAGGUUGUUUUUGUUAGCACUACCUUGUUUAACUUUUCUCAGCCUGGAACGAGUCACAGUGGCAAUAGGUAAAGCUGUACUAACUACUCUGGCUAUGCUAUCGACAGACUCCACUAUGCUAGCAGGCUGGCUAACAGCCUGCAGCCUGACCUGCACCCUAUCUCAUGUUAAGGCUAUAGGAGUGAGACUCCUGUCGAUGUUCCUAGACAAAAGAAGAGCACCACUCCAGCUAGGAUGGAGUCCGUCGCUCCUCAGCAGAUCAGGCCUGGCACUAUUUCUGGGAGAGUCCCAAAAAGAAAGCCAGUUAUCUACAAACUCUACCUCCUGCGACGGGCAGAACUCCGUUUUCAGCCAGCGAUUGAGUUGCGCAAGUCUGCUGUAGUGCUCGUCACCACCCCUAGCUGGGAGGGGGCCAGAGACAAUUACUCGAUGCCGACAUCUUUCUAGCUAGUUUACACGCUGAUGCUAUGUUCUGCUUCGUAACCUCUGACUGUUUCAUCCUAACAUCGUUGGUGCCAACGUGAAUAACAAUAUCUCUGUACUCUCUAUACUUGCCAGUUUUAGACUUUGCUAGGACCAACCCCAGAUUUGCGGCUACGUCGGUGGCUGCGAGUUCCUGUCGUAUCCAGUUUAAAGAAACCAGAGAUUAGUGUCAGUCAUAAUGAGAAGGAUGUCAUCAUCUCCUGUGAGAUUCCUGGACCUGCUGGUAAUGACACCACUUGUAACCUGUAUGUUGGAGAUCAGAGUCAACAUCUCCAGAACAGAAAGAUCUGGAGGAAAAAAUCAUCCAGGUCCAAGACAUCAUUCUGUCAGUUCACAGUGACUGAAGAUGACCUGAUCAGACAUCUACAGUCAGUAGGGAGUCAGGAGGUGAGCUGUGACUACAGAGUGAGUUCAGGACCAAACUCUCUCUCUCCACGUAGUGACGGGUACAUUAUAACAAAUUUGAUAGCUAGUGCUACUUUGAUCCCCAAAACAACAUUGAGACCAACUACCAGUUCAACCACUUCUUUGACCCCCACAGCAACAACAUCAGGUUCAACCACUUAUUUGACCCCCACGGCAACAACAUCAGGUUCAACCACUUCUUUGACCCCCACGGCAACAACAUCAGGUUCAACCACUUCUUUGACCCCCACAGCAACAACAUCAGGUUCAACCACUUCUUUGACCCACACGGCAACAACAUCAGAUGCUUAUGACUGGGGGAUCAAAUACAGCCGUAGAUCACUGAAAUUGAAAUUAUUAUGGCUUGCAGCAGUGGGUGUGGCUUCUGGAGUGGGCGUGUUCCUGGUGGGAUUGACAGUUGUCUGUCUCCGUAGGAAGACAAAUCCUUGGCACAACUGUAAUGAGGACGCGCGUGGAAGACGCACGCCCUCCCCCCCGGCGUGGUAUUCGGCGUGCGUAAUCGCCGGCCUUCUAGUCACGCCGCUCCUCCUCCCACGGCACUGUCAUGUCUUGUUAUUGCACACACCUGGUGUCCAUUCCCUCAUUAGGUUGCCUAUAUUAGUUCCUGUGUUUCUGGGUGUCUUUGUGUGGUAUUGUUCCAUGUUUGAAGUAGUGUACCGUGCAUUGUCUGAACACUGGAUCCGUUUGUUUGCACUUCGACGCUCCGUUCUCUUGGGGAUUUUGUACGGAUGUGUUCAGUUUUUGAUUUUGGGAAUUAUACGUCAUAUACUUGGAUAAAGAAUUGACAACUACAAUUCCUGCGUUUGGCUCCUUUUCGCUGCACACCAGGGACAACAACACCAUUUUGCCAAUCACUAUUCCUAGUUUAAGCACAUGCAUCUG